Molecule: ribosomal RNA, 117 nt
Filed under: Sinosporangium album
Lineage: Bacteria; Bacillati; Actinomycetota; Actinomycetes; Streptosporangiales; Streptosporangiaceae
Source: RNAcentral
UACGGCGGUUUUUGCGGAGGGGAAACACCCGGUUACUUUCCGAACCCGGAAGUUAAGGUCUCCAGCGCCGAUGGUACUGCACUCGGGAGGGUGUGGGAGAGUAGGUCGCCGCCGGAC